AACGAACGCUGGCGGCAGGCCUAACACAUGCAAGUCGAACGAUCCUUCGGGAUAGUGGCAGACGGGUGAGUAACGCGUGGGAACCUACCUAAGGGUUCGGAAUAACUCAGGGAAACUUGGGCUAAUACCGGAUACGUCCUUCGGGAGAAAGAUUUAUCGCCCCUAGAUGGGCCCGCGUUGGAUUAGCUUGUUGGUGGGGUAAAGGCCUACCAAGGCUACGAUCUAUAGCUGGUCUGAGAGGAUGAUCAGCCACAUUGGGACUGAGACACGGCCCAAACUCCUACGGGAGGCAGCAGUGGGGAAUCUUGCACAAUGGGCGAAAGCCUGAUGCAGCCAUGCCGCGUGAGUGAUGAAGGCCCUAGGGUUGUAAAGCUCUUUCACUGGUGAGGAUAAUGACUGUAACCAGAAAAGAAGCCCCGGCUAACUUCGUGCCAGCCGCCGCCGUAACAC
RNAcentral lists this ribosomal RNA (450 nucleotides) under uncultured bacterium. RNAcentral describes it as "bacterial SSU rRNA". It matches the Rfam family "Bacterial small subunit ribosomal RNA", at positions 29 to 526 of the family's 1533-position model. The record is from RNAcentral.